UGAGGCUGUAGAUCAGUGGUAGAGUGCUUGCCUAGCAUGUGUGAGGCAUUGGGUUCGAUUCUCAGCACCACAA
RNAcentral lists this transfer RNA (73 nucleotides) under Marmota monax (woodchuck). RNAcentral's name for it is "tRNA.Ala". The record is from RNAcentral. Lineage: Eukaryota; Metazoa; Chordata; Mammalia; Rodentia; Sciuridae.